GAGCGCCUCGACGACAGAGCCGGCGUCCGCCUCAGCACCUGCAUGGCCAGUGCCUGCGAGGCUCAAGGCUGCUUGUCCUGAACCCCGCGCCGCCUGUCAGAUGGCAGCUUCCUGGAUGGUUGACGCUCAGGUCUUCUCGUGUUAUUCCAGUUUUAAACAAGAUGUCUCAGAAGAGAGGAAGUUUAUUGUCCCAUUUGUGCCACAGCGAGAAAGGAACCAAAUGCUAAUCACGUCCUGGGCUAGUCAAGUAUUGUGUUGGGGAGAAAAAGAGUUAGCCUCAAAGAAUUUAGUGAUUUUUGUAUUCUUGUAAUAACUGCAGCUGUACCACCUGUGUGUGUCUCGUCACUACAAAGACCUGCUGCCCGCUCUGUCUCUGGUGGGACCCUGGGUGUGGCCUUGUACUUAUCUGUGGAUGUUACCCUGGGCGGAUCCUGGCAGGGGCACUCACAGUGUCCCUGGAUUACCUCUCACAUCCGCCUUGGCUUUUUAUAAUUGUCUCAAUAAAGACAA
RNAcentral lists this long non-coding RNA (510 nucleotides) under Marmota monax (woodchuck). The record is from RNAcentral. Lineage: Eukaryota; Metazoa; Chordata; Mammalia; Rodentia; Sciuridae.